Molecule: ribosomal RNA, 497 nt
Filed under: uncultured bacterium
Lineage: Bacteria
Description: partial 16S ribosomal RNA
Rfam family: Bacterial small subunit ribosomal RNA
Source: RNAcentral
GAUGAACGCUGGCGGCGUGCCUAACACAUGCAAGUCGAGCGAACAGACGAGGAGCUUGCUCCUCUGACGUUAGCGGCGGACGGGAGAGUAACACGUGUAUACCCUACCUAUCAGACUGGGAUAACUUCGGGACACCGGAUCUAAUACCGUAUAAUAUAUUGCACCGCGUUGGUCGAUAGUAAAAUACGGUUUUUCUGUCACUUAUAGAUGUAUCCGCGCCGCAUUAGCUAGUUGUGAAGGUCACGGCUUACCACGGCAACGCUGCGUAGCCGACCUAAGAGGGUGAUCGGCGGCAUGGGAACUGAGACACGGACAAGACUCCUAAGGGAGGCAGCAGAAGGGAACGGGCGGCAGUGGGCGAAAGCCUGACGGAGCAAGGGGGCGUGUGUGAUGAAGGUCUUCGGUUCGUAAUACUCUGUUACUGGGGAAGAACAAAUGUGUACUGAGCUGAGGACGUAGUGACGGUACUUAAUCAGAAAGCACCGGCUAACUACGUG